GGCCUCCCAAAGUGCUGGGAUUACAGGCGUGAGCCACCGCGCCCGGCCAAAUGCUACCAUUGUUAAGUGCCAGGCGUCCCACCAUGCGGGUCUUCACUGCGUAUCCACGUAGCUGCACCACGCAGGCAUUCUUUCCUCCCUUUUGCAGAUGAUGGCACCAAAGUUCAAGACUCGCCCAGGGCCACCAAGACAGUCCUCUAGACUUUGGUCUUCCCUCCUUGCCUCCUCGGCCUGGGGUGGUGGCGCCUCGGUCUGAGAAGGGUCGAGGUCUGGGUGCUGCUAGUGGCCCUGGCUCAGUCUCAGAGCUGCCCGGAGGGGGUGAGGAUGGCUAACUUAAGGAGCACAGGCCUCAAUCCCCAAGCACUGUUGGCCCUGGACUGUUUCCCCCCCUCAAUUCUGUUUCUCAAUGCCUGCUUCUUCCCAGUAAGUGCCACACCCUGAGGGUGGGUGGGAGAGUGAGGCAGCACUGCCCACUUUGGCUGGGACUGGGCACUGCUGGGGACAGCACGGGCCACGUCUUCCCCAUCUCAAGACUGGCUUUUUGGCUAGGCAUUGUGACUCACGCCUGUAAUCUCAGCACUUUGGGAGGCUGAGGUGGGAGAAUUGCUUCAGCCCAGGAGUUCCAGACCAGCCUGGGCAAAAUAGCAAGAAUUCAUCUUUAUGAAAAAGAAAAAAAAAAUUAGCCAGGCAUGGUGGCACACACUUAUAGUCCCAGAUACUUAGGAGGCCGAGGUGGGAGGAUCCCUUGAGCCCAUGAGUUGGAGGCCGUGGUGAGCUAUCAGUUGCACCACUGCACUCCAGCCUGGAUGGCAGAGCAAGACCCCAACUCAAAAAAAAAAAAAAAAAAAAAAAGGCGGCCUUUUCCCAGCUGGCAGCACCCUGGCUAGUUAGGGUUUCUCCGAAUCUGCAACUCCUGUGUGAUGGCGGGUCUCAAAUGCUGGCAGCAGAGUCACCGGUCAGCGGCAAGACCUGGAGUCUCCAUUUGGAACCAGCACCCGGGAGCCUCUGCUGGGGGUGAUCAUGGAGCCGCACGUGGAGGCUGGUGGCUCUGAUGGUUCGAGCCGUUCCUCGGCAGCACAGCACACCCGCUCCUGAGGAGCCACGGAGCUCAUGAGCGUUGGCAAAGUGCUGUCAGUGCUGGCUGUAAGGAAACAGGCUUGACUUUUAACUCAGCCUUUCCCAAACUUGACUAUAAUACUUUCUUGAAAAUCAGAAUAACCACUAACAUCACAAAACGAGUGUUCUCAGGAGUGGGCAUGUUUAUCUCGUUCUCUUUUUUUUUUUCUUUUUGAGACGGAGCCUCGCUCUGUUGCCCAGGCUGGAGUGCAAUGGUGCGAUCUCGACUCACGGCAAUCUCCGUCUCCCCGGUUCAAGCGAUUCUCCUGCCUCAGGCUCCCGAGUAGUUGGGAUUACAGGCGCACGCCACCACGCCCGAUUAAUGUUUAUUUUUAGUACAGACGGGGUUUCUCCAUGUUGGUCAGGAUGGUCUCGAACUCCUGACCUCAGGUGAGCCUCCUGCCUUGGCCUCCCAAAGUGCUGGGAUUAUAGGCGUGAGCCACCACGCCCAGUCUUUUUUUAAAUAUUUGAGUGAAAUAAAGCCUAGGAGAUAUGUGUUCCAGGCGCCCAAGCUGUUAAUGUGGAGCUUGAAUGUGGCCUGGACCUGCCCUUUCCUCUUCUCCUUUCAUCCCCCUCCCUGCCGCCCACAUCCUGAACUGCUCUGAGCCUGCAGAAGAACCCAGCGGGAAUCUUCAGGGUUGUGGAAGGGUGUAGGGAUGGAAAGGGACCAGGAUUCGCCUGUUUGGCUGGGAAAAUCGGUAGAGGAGGGUGGCUCACACUUCUAAGAUGUCUGCACAAGCCCAGUUUGUUUGGGGGUUGGGGAGGAAGGUCUUUUCCUGGCCCACUGUCCCUCCCGAGUCAGCAGUCCCCCAGAGAGACGAAGAGCAGCUGGGCACGGCUGGAGCUGGUCGGUGGCAGAGAAUCUUGUCCUGCCUUUUCUUCUCAAGCUCAAAAUAGGCACAUGCAGCUAUUAACUGAUAUGCCAGAAGGGGCAUCCCUUACCCGGAGGAAAAUGGAUUUAUUGCUUUAUAAAAAAG
RNAcentral lists this long non-coding RNA (2093 nucleotides) under Homo sapiens (human). Its description in RNAcentral is "HSALNT0235869". The record is from RNAcentral. Lineage: Eukaryota; Metazoa; Chordata; Mammalia; Primates; Hominidae.